RNAcentral lists this ribosomal RNA (401 nucleotides) under uncultured bacterium. RNAcentral describes it as "bacterial SSU rRNA". It matches the Rfam family "Bacterial small subunit ribosomal RNA", at positions 355 to 772 of the family's 1533-position model. The record is from RNAcentral.
UGGGGAAUCUUGCACAAUGGGGGCAACCCUGAUGCAGCGACGCCGCGUGGGUGAAGAAGGUCUUCGGAUCGUAAAGCCCUUUUCCCACUGAAGAGGAAGGACGGUAGGUGGGGAAGAAGUCUCGGCUAACUACGUGCCAGCAGCCGCGGUAAAACGUAGGAGACAAGCGUUAUCCGGAGUUACUGGGCGUAAAGGGCGUGCAGGUGGCGUCUUAAGUCUGUUGUGAAAGCGCCUGGCUUAACCGGGCGAGGCCAAUGGAGACUGAGAGGCUGGAGGACGGGGGAGGGGUGUGGAAGUCCGGGUGUAGUGGUGAAAUGCGUAGAGAUCCGGAGGAACACCAGAGGCGAAGGCGGCACUCUAAGCCGUACCUGACACUGAGACGCGACAGCACGGGGAGCAAA